UUCUGUAAAGGCUUUAUUAAAUAUGGAUGAUGAUAUCUUAAUGGUCAAUACAGGUUCAUGGUACACAGUUGCCCACAUGUCAAUUUUAACAAAUAAUAAUACCUCAAAAGUAUUUGUGUGUGGAGUACAAUCACAAGCCAAGGAUCCUGACUUGAAGACCCUUUUCACAAAAAUAGGAUGUAAAAAUACAGAAUUCCUUAAAGAUCACUCUCAAGGAGGCAUCUCAGUGGACAAACUUCACGUUCUUGCUCAACAGCAGUAUGAACAGCUAACACAUGCAAUGAAAUUUACUAAAGCUCAAGCAGUUGUUUACUGCACAUGUUCAGUUUUUCCAGAAGAAAAUGAAGCUGUUGUUAAGAAAGCACUGGAAUUUCAAGACCUUGGGAAUAAAGGACAACCUUACAGGCUUAGUCCUCCUGUUCUUCCACUGUGCUCCUUAAAGGAAAUUCAAUUGUCUACUGAUAAAUUUUUCAGAAUGGAACCAUCUGAAAUUACCAAUGGUUGUUUUCUUUCUAUUUUAACAAGGGAGCGGGACCCUUCUGAGACAGUGUCUGUGAAUGAUGUUUUGGCCCGAGCUGCAGCCAAGGGUCUGCUGGAUGGGAUUGAGUUGGGUAAAUCAUCAAAACGGGAGAAGAAGAAGAAAAAAUCAAAAACAUCAUUGACAAAAGGUGCCACUACUGAUAAUGGCAUCCAAAUGAAAAUUGCUGAGUUCCUGAAUCGAGAAAC
RNAcentral lists this small RNA (726 nucleotides) under Pan troglodytes (chimpanzee). Its description in RNAcentral is "processed transcript". The record is from RNAcentral. Lineage: Eukaryota; Metazoa; Chordata; Mammalia; Primates; Hominidae.